Long non-coding RNA from Phyllostomus discolor (pale spear-nosed bat), 1847 nucleotides. RefSeq lists it as uncharacterized. The record is from RefSeq and is a predicted model, not a curated record. NCBI's taxonomy places the organism in Eukaryota, Metazoa, Chordata, Mammalia, Chiroptera, Phyllostomidae. The transcript has 2 exons.
CUCUAUCUAUGAUUCUCUGUUUUGCUUGUUAGUUCAUUUUGUAUAUUAAAUAGAUUCCACAAAUGAGUGAAAUCAUAUGGCACUUGUCUUUCUCUAACUGGCUUGUUCCACUCAGCGUAAUGCUCCCCAGGUCACUUCUGCCAUUGCUCGUUUUCAGUGUUAGGGGUACAGCUCAAAGUUCAGGUGGCACAGAUCAGUAAAGAUGACCUGCUGGGGAAAAUAGUUGUUUUUUAUUCUCAUCUUACAGCAUCUUCAAACACAGGACUGCAUGAGAAAUAAAGUAUUUUAAACUUAUACUUUGAGUUGUGAAAAUAAACCAUUUGCCAUUUAUAGCACCUCAUAACACUUUGGAGGUAAAAAGAAUUUAUUCUUUUUACCUACAGAUACUCAUCAGUGUGAUGGUAUGAUAAGGCCUAACUUAGGAUACCAUGAUUAGAAACUCUUCAUGUUAGAAUCUUCCACUUUGGCAGUGAGAUCUCUACCUUACACUUCACCCACCCACACAUUUCACAAAUACUUAUGAAACACCAAGACAUCAGGGGCAGGGGUAGGUCUUUGUAGUGUCAUGAGUGGCUGGAUCAGGUAUACUCUAGAUCCUUCUUCCAGUGGCUGCGUCCUUCAUCCCAAAAAAUGAAUUUUGCUUACAGCCUCCUAAAAAACUACUUUCAACUUAUAUUUUUGCCACCUGAUCAUUACCUCAGAUUGCCAUUAUUCUGAACUAAUUUCACCCAUCAUGGUGAAUUUUAUUAAUUGGCCUGAAUGGUACAGCAUAUCUUUGAGAUACAAGUUAAACAUUCUUCAAGCAUGUACUGUGAUACUGUUGUCUUUCAUUCUGUAAGGAAAGGCUUCCACAAAUCAGCACUAGGGUUAAGAAUUUUCUAAUGUACUAAAAGCUAUUAAUUUAUUUAGAAUUUAGGUGGGCUUGCAAGUGAAGCCUAACAAAUGGUUUUAUAAAUAAACUUUGUCAAGCUUAAUGCAGAUGUUUUCAGUAUAUUUUUUAUUUGGUUUUUGUUUUGUCUCCAUAGUACACAAAGAAUCUUACUGAUUUGAUGACAUUACUUUGCUUUUUAAUUUGGCUUGAUUUUUUUCAAUAUGUAAUACUUUUUCUUUGAGUAAAAUGAAAGUAAAUUUGAAUCAGUGGAAAGUUUUCUUAUUCCAGGCUCAGAAGAUCCUUCUCUUGUUCUAUCGUUCUGUUAAUUUUCAUACCACAUUCACCAUGUGCUCAUGAAAACUACUUAAUAGCCUAGCAGAGAGGUCACAGUUUCUAUAAAUCUAGAAUUUAUUUAAUCUACACUGAUAGCUCAUAGAGUAUUCAUUAAGUUGAAAGUGCUUGUUAGAGUGAUACAAAGACACCAUAAACAAAGAUGUCAGACAGUCAACACGAGAAGCUGUUUUUACUAGUUAUGUUACAGAUAAAGAGUUAAUAUGUGUAAUACACUAAAAGUUCUUAUAGAUGAAUAAAUUGAACACCCCAAUAAAAAAUAGUAGCUUAUACACAAUCUUACAUGUACAUGGAUGUUUGUUUAGAGAUAGAGAUAAACUAAUCAAUGGUUAUCCCUAAGCAAUGAUAUAACAGAAUUUCAUUUUGUACUUUGUACAUUUUUAUAUUGUUUAAAUUUUAUAGGUGUGUAUUGCUUUUUUAAUCACAAAAGUAUAAAAAUAAUAAAAAGCAAAAACCAAACUUUUGCUAGGGCCCUAACUUCAUUAGGUCAGGCUGUCUCGGGGAUAGCUCGGACCAGUGCGCCCACCCUGCGGUCUACUGCACAGUGCUUGGCGGCCCCGCGGGUGCUUCUCUAAAACUCUGUCAGUCUGUGUUUACUGUAUUCAGUAUGUGAAACAAACAAAAA